Molecule: ribosomal RNA, 791 nt
Filed under: uncultured bacterium
Lineage: Bacteria
Description: bacterial SSU rRNA
Rfam family: Bacterial small subunit ribosomal RNA
Source: RNAcentral
AUAACGCUCCGAAAGGAGUGGUAAUACCGCAUGAGACCAUGGACUGGGAUGUCCAUGGUGAAACCUGGGGACCGCAAGGCCUGGGGCAAGGAGAGGGUUCUGCGUCUGAUUAGCUAGUUGGUGGGGUAACGGCCUACCAAGGCGACGAUCAGUAGCCGGCCUGAGAGGGUGAUCGGCCUCACUGGAACUGAGACACGGUCCAGACUCCUACGGGAGGCAGCAGUGGGGAAUUUUGCGCAAUGGGCGAAAGCCUGACGCAGCAACGCCGCGUGGGUGAUGAAGGUCUUCGGAUCGUAAAACCCUGUCGUCGGGGACGAAGGUUGUGGGUUGAAUAGGCUCGCAGCUUGACGGUACCCGGAGAGGAAGCCCCGGCUAACUCUGUGCCAGCAGCCGCGGUAAUACAGAGGGGGCAAGCGUUAUUCGGAAUUAUUGGGCGUAAAGGGCGCGUAGGCGGUGUUUUAAGUGAGAUGUGCAAUCCCCGAGCUUAACUUGGGAACUGCAUCUCAGACUGGAACGCUAGAGUACUGGAGAGGGUGGUAGAAUUCCACGUGUAGCGGUGAAAUGCGUAGAUGUGGAGGAAUACCAGUGGCGAAGGCGGCCACCUGGACAGUAACUGACGCUGAGGCGCGAAAGUGUGGGUAGCAAACAGGAUUAGAUACCCUGGUAGUCCACGCUGUAAACGAUGAACACUUGGUGUGGCGGGAGUUGACCCCUGCCGUGCCGUAGCUAACGCGAUAAGUGUUCCGCCUGGGGAGUACGGUCGCAAGGCUGAAACUCAAAUGAAUUGACGG